GUCUAGCCUGCCCAMUGAGUAAUUGAAUGGCCGCAGUAUUUUGACUGUGCAAAGGUAGCAUAAUCAUUAGUUUUUUAAUUGAAAGCUGGAAUGAAAGGUUGGACAAGAAAAUAGCUGUCUCUUUAUAAAUUAGUUAGAAUUUUAUUUUUAAGUUAAAAAGCUUAAAUAAAUUUAAAAGACGAGAAGACCCUAUAGAGUUUUAUAAAUUUUAUAAUUAAUUUUUUUUUGUAAUAAUUUAAAUAAAUUAUAAAUUUUAUUUUGUUGGGGUGAUGGAAAAAUUUUAUUAACUUUUUUUAAAUAAAAACAUAUAUUAAUGAUUUAUUGAUCCUUAAAUUAAGAUUAAAAGAUUAAAUUACCUUAGGGAUAACAGCGUAAUUUUUUUGGAGAGUUCAAAUCGAUAAAAAAGUUUGCGACCUCGAUGUUGGAUUAAAAUUAAAUUUUGGUGUAGAAGCUAAAAUAUUWRKS
RNAcentral lists this ribosomal RNA (465 nucleotides) under Gyrophaena flavicornis. RNAcentral's name for it is "partial 16S ribosomal RNA". Lineage: Eukaryota; Metazoa; Arthropoda; Insecta; Coleoptera; Staphylinidae. The record is from RNAcentral.